GUAGACAUAGUUUAAUAAAAACUUUAGAUUGUGAAUCUAACAACAGAGACUAAAAGCUCUUGUCUACC
Molecule: transfer RNA, 68 nt
Rfam family: tRNA
About the family: Transfer RNA (tRNA) molecules are approximately 80 nucleotides in length.